Molecule: long non-coding RNA, 272 nt
Filed under: Elaeis guineensis (African oil palm)
Lineage: Eukaryota; Viridiplantae; Streptophyta; Magnoliopsida; Arecales; Arecaceae
Description: long non-coding RNA (EGUI_LNC023408)
Source: RNAcentral
GAUCAUCCAUGAUCCUGAUCUAGUCAUGACUUGAUUUGAUCAUGUUGAUUUCACCAAUCGAGAUAUUGGACCAAUCAUAAUGUUGGAUUGUGUCACCUGAUUAAUUUGAAUUGUAUCUCAUGAAUUCUCUCUCCUCUAAUUGUCUCUCUCUACUUGAUUUUAUGAAAUCGAUGAAGAAACCUCGGUCCUAUCACUUCGAAUCUGAUUUGAUCUGAUAGUCAAACUUUGGAUCGUUUAGGUCCUAAUUAGAUUUUGAUUAGAUGAAAUUAGAU